RNAcentral lists this ribosomal RNA (613 nucleotides) under Phanerochaete sp. Its description in RNAcentral is "partial large subunit ribosomal RNA". It matches the Rfam family "Eukaryotic large subunit ribosomal RNA", at positions 54 to 649 of the family's 3401-position model. Lineage: Eukaryota; Fungi; Basidiomycota; Agaricomycetes; Polyporales; Phanerochaetaceae. The record is from RNAcentral.
AGGAAAAGAAACUAACAAGGAUUCCCCUAGUAACUGCGAGUGAAGCGGGAAAAGCUCAAAUUUAAAAUCUAGGCAGUCUUUGGCUAGUCCGAGUUGUAAUCUGGAGAAGCGUCUUCCGCGCUGGACCGUGUACAAGUCUCCUGGAACGGAGCGUCAUAGAGGGUGAGAAUCCCGUCUUUGACACGGACUACCAGUGCUCUGUGAUGCGCUCUCAAAGAGUCGAGUUGUUUGGGAAUGCAGCUCAAAAUGGGUGGUAAACUCCAUCUAAAGCUAAAUAUUGGCGAGAGACCGAUAGCGAACAAGUACCGUGAGGGAAAGAUGAAAAGCACUUUGGAAAGAGAGUUAAACAGUACGUGAAAUUGCUGAAAGGGAAACGCUUGAAGUCAGUCGCGUUUGCUAGGACUCAGCCUUGCCUCGGCUUGGUGCACUUCCUAGUAAACGGGCCAGCAUCACUUUUGACUGCGGGAAAAAGAUCAGAGGAAUGUGGCACCUUCGGGUGUGUUAUAGCCUCUGGUUGUAUACCGUGGUUGGGAGUGAGGAACUCAGCACGCCGCAAGGCGGGGCUUCGGCCACCUUCGUGCUUAGGAUGCUGGCGUAAUGGCUUUAAACGACC